UAUACAGUCACUCACAUUCAAAGUCGGGCAAACACAAAACAAAAUUUUUAUAUGCAAUAUUUAUGUUUCUAUGACCAAUAAUACUUCUAAUUUUGUUUCUAUUUUAUAGCAAAAACUCUUGUAUAUAAAAAAAACACACACAAAAAUAUUGCAAGUACCGUUAUAAAAUGAAUAUGAAGCCAAAACAAACAAAAAUCACUUUUCAGCAUCACAUUGAAAGUCGGGCAAGCCAUGGUUUUUUGCAGUAAUGCAGUAAACAUACCGUUAUUUUUUGUUUUUUUUUUUUGUAUUUGUUUUACACAUAUUUGGUCAUUGUUGUGUUAUCAGUCAUUCAGUGAAGUUUAUUAGAGUAUUUUAGAAAAUGCCUCGUAAUAUUAGACAGUCCACCAUAGAAGAACGGAAAAUAGUUAUAAACCAGCAUUUGGAAGGAAAAUCUGAACGCGAAAUAUCGAAACUGGUUAAUAUAAGCAAAUCAACGGUCCAUGAUAUUAUCUCCAGAUAUAACGAAAAUGGAUUAAUAUCAAACAAACUACGUAAACCGCGAUCAAAGAAAUUAUCCUCUAAAGACGAGAGUAUGGUUUUAAGAGAAGUGAAGAAAAAUCCCUUUAUAUCUGCACCAAAAUUGACUUCAAUGGUCAAAGAAGCUUCUGGGACAGAAGUUAACCCAGAAACAAUAAGAAGGCUUCUCCGAAAAAAUGACUUCCAUGGCCGAGUUGCACGAAAAAAGCCCCUCAUUAGCAAGAAAAACCAAAAUGACCGUCUUGCCUUUGCCCGUCAAUAUAUGUCUAAGAAUUUUGAUUUUUGGAGGACUGUACUUUUUACUGAUGAAAGUAAAUUUAAUUUAUUUGGAUGUGAUGGAAGGGGCAAAGUAUGGCGCAAACCAAACAAAGAGCUAGAAGCAAAAAACUUAAGAAAAA
Musca vetustissima is the source of this 917-nucleotide long non-coding RNA. RefSeq lists it as uncharacterized. The transcript is spliced from 2 exons. Lineage: Eukaryota; Metazoa; Arthropoda; Insecta; Diptera; Muscidae. The record is from RefSeq and is a predicted model, not a curated record.